RNAcentral lists this ribosomal RNA (516 nucleotides) under Triticum aestivum (bread wheat). RNAcentral describes it as "partial small subunit ribosomal RNA". Lineage: Eukaryota; Viridiplantae; Streptophyta; Magnoliopsida; Poales; Poaceae. The record is from RNAcentral.
AUGUCGAGGGAUCCGCUGAUCGUCGGAAGGAUCGUCGGCGACAUCGUCGACUACUUCGACGCGUCGGCGCGGCUGAGGGUGCUGUACAGCUACCGCGAGAUCACCAAUGGGUCCGAGCUGAGGCCGUCGCAGGUGGCGAACCAGCCGACGGUGCAGAUCACAGGACGGCCCGGAUCACUCUACACGCUGGUGAUGGUAGACCCUGACGUACCUAGUCCAAGCAAUCCUUCCCAACGGGAGUACCUCCACUGGUUGGUCACAGACAUACCAGAACGAGGUGACGUCAGCUGUGGAACUGAGGUGGUGCCGUACGAGAGACCACAGCCGACGGCGGGGAUCCACCGUGUGGCAUUCGUGGUGUUCCGGCAGGCGGCGCAGGCGAUCUACGCACCAGGGUGGCGCUCCAACUUCGUAACCAGGGACAUUGCGGAGUGCUACAGCCUCGGCGCUCCGGUCGCCGCCGCCUACUUCAACUGCCAGAGGGAGGGCAGCUGCGGUGGCCGGAGGUACCGGUGA